RNAcentral lists this ribosomal RNA (490 nucleotides) under uncultured bacterium. Its description in RNAcentral is "bacterial SSU rRNA". It matches the Rfam family "Bacterial small subunit ribosomal RNA", at positions 30 to 513 of the family's 1533-position model. The record is from RNAcentral.
AUUGAACGCUGGCGGCAUGCCUUACACAUGCAAGUCGAACGGCAGCACGGGAGCAAUCCUGGUGGCGAGUGGCGAACGGGUGAGUAAUAUAUCGGAACGUGCCCAGUCGUGGGGGAUAACGUAGCGAAAGCUACGCUAAUACCGCAUACGAUCUAUGGAUGAAAGCGGGGGAUCGCAAGGCCUCGCGCGAUUGGAGCGGCCGAUAUCAGAUUAGGUAGUUGGUGGGGCAAAAGCCUACCAAGCCUUCGAUCUGUAGCUGGUCUGAGAGGACGACCAGCCACACUGGAACUGAGACACGGUCCAGACUCCUACGGGAGGCAGCAGUGGGGAAUUUUGGACAAUGGGCGCAAGCCUGAUCCAGCAAUGCCGCGUGCAGGAUGAAGGCCUUCGGGUUGUAAACUGCUUUUGUACGGAACGAAACGGCUCUUUCUAAUAAAGGGAGCUAAUGACGGUACCGUAAGAAUAAGCACCGGCUAACUACGUGCCAGCA